Molecule: ribosomal RNA, 253 nt
Filed under: uncultured bacterium
Lineage: Bacteria
Description: partial 16S ribosomal RNA
Rfam family: Bacterial small subunit ribosomal RNA
Source: RNAcentral
UACGUAGGGUGCAAGCGUUAUCCGGAUUUAUUGGGCGUAAAGGGAACGCAGGCGGUCUUUUAAGUCUGAUGUGAAAGCCUUCGGCUUAACCGGAGUAGUGCAUUGGAAACUGGGAGACUUGAGUGCAGAAGAGGAGAGUGGAACUCCAUGUGUAGCGGUGAAAUGCGUAGAUAUAUGGAAGAACACCAGUGGCGAAAGCGGCUCUCUGGUCUGUAACUGACGCUGAGGUUCGAAAGCGUGGGUAGCAAACAGG